GGAUGUGGUGUCUAUAUUUGCUUUUGAAGACUUGUCUUCCCUCUUAGCAUAAAUAAAGAUAUUUGAAAUUCCAGAAGCUUAAUCAUUCUCCAAUGGCACAAAAGCUGAGUGGGAUUUGGUGGAGGGCAGAAUCUGAAUAAGCCCCAUUUAGGAUGCAUGAAAAUUGCUUGAGAAGGAUUUAUAAAGUAAGCCAAUUUAUACAAGGUAUUCCUUUCUGAAUUACUUUGUAAUGACUCAAUUAGCUUUCAUUUCUUCACAAAGGAGAUUUAGCUGCAUAAAUUAGCUUAUCAUCAUUGAGGAUGUGUCACUGCUAAAGGACAGUUUAUAGAUACAACAUGCAGUUGCUGUCAAACCUAUAAGAAUGUAAUAUAGACAUCUGUGUAUACUUUGUGCUUGAGCAGAACAGACUUCUGUCAUUCAGAGACUAACAGGGGACAACAGGUUGCCCAGGGGACCAACAAUGUAGACAUCUCUGAAAAGGUCAUCUUGACACAGGCUCUGACAAUCGACCCACAGCUCUGUCUUCUUUGAUAAAAAUCAGAUAAACUUAAGACCACUAAUUGAUCUGCAGCCUGCUUAAAUGUUGGCCAUGCAUAUCUUCAUUGCAUAUGAUUAUACUGCAGAAAGCAAAUGAACCGGCCUAAGAAAUGCCAGGCUCCAAUGACUGCAGAAGGAAAGGUGAUGGCGAUAUGAAAAUUAGAAGGGAACAGCACUACCCAGGAAUUGUAGUAUGGGGGGGGGGGCGAGGGAAGUCACUGCUGUCUUUUGUUUGUGUUAGCAAGUUGCCUUGGUGUUAAUCCACACUAAAGAAGGGAGUUGGAGAACUGGAUCAGGUACCCUAGAAUAGGACAACUUUUCUUAAAAGUAUACUAACAUUUGCUUUACUGGCAUUACCAUUUAGAUACUUGGCUGACUUACGGAUUUGGAAACCCAACACUUAUUCUUUAUCGAAACACAUCCAAAUCCCAGACAUCAGCUGAAUGCCUAGUGUGCUUUGUCAUUCUGUCCUGAAAGAAUGAACCUGAGGUUAUCUUUUUCGUCAUACUUGCUCCACAUCAUUCUUCCACUGCUGUCAGAGAAAGGGUGGAUGAGGAGUAUGUUCAGGAAAUUUCUUCACUGUACCCUUCCUGUUGUAGCAUGUGGAAAGGAAACAGGCCUGACUUCCGGCCUCUGGCAGGAAACUAUAUGAACAGGUUGUUGUGGACAGUUUAGGCUAAUGUUUGCUGCAAAGGAAACAAAGUUUUAAGUCAUCAGAUGUUGCUCUUAAAAUGGACCACUACAAUAGGUUAAGUAAUAUUUCUUAUCAUAGAAAAGUUACUCCCACUACUCCUCAAAACUUUUUGGAAACUUGGCAUGCAUUUACAUGAACACAAUAUCAGCUGGCUUCACUUCAAGGCCUUUAGAACACAAAGCCUAAAGUCUAUUCAGAAAUGAACUAAAAUAUCAUACGACAGAGUAUUUAAGCAUCACCUAGAAUUUGUGAUGCUCCUGACAGUACCUUCUUCUUGUGGAACACCAUGGUUAUCCACUUUGCCUUCCUCAAAAAGUACCAAAAGGUAGUUCUGUUUAGAUUCUAUGUAUUCAGUCACUAUAGGAUUGUCUUGAUUUCAGUAGGUCUUAAUCUGGGUAGGAUUGGAACUUCAGUGAACCGUAAGCAUGAACUCUAAAUAGUGUACAUCACUCUUUCAUAGAAAGGUUGUGCUAGGUAAUAGUCUGUAGCCUCUAGGAUUUCUCUGUUAUUUAUAAGGCUAAUCCUGAUAAAUUUCAAAUUCAACCAUUGGAUUAAGUUCUAGAUCAAAUAAAUCUCGAUAAAUGGUGUUACAGUAUAUUUAGCAAGUACAAACAAAUGCUAUUUGUUGCUUUCAAUGGGUUUGUUUUAAACAAUCUUCUUAUAACUUAGCAGAUAUAUGCUGCAGCACUGAGCUAUCUAUUUGUCAGUUGGCUUAGCAUAAAGAAUUAGAUAGAUUUAAAAUAUCAGAUCUUUAUAUACUCUUGGAUUCUUUAGGAGUACCGUCAUACAUCGACCAAAGAUCCACCAUUUUUAACAAUAGUCAGGAAGCUCACAAACCAGUAUGAUAUGGUAGUUCUUUUGCAGUGGGAUAUACUCAUUUCACCGUAAUUCUCAUUUCUCACUUCAUGGUAUGUGAUGCAAUAUUUGCUCCAUAAGAUGCACAGACAUUUCCACCCAGUUUUGGAGGGUUUUAUGGAGAGAAAAAUAUGAUAUAUAUUUAAAGCCAUAAAGUAAAUAUACUCCCUUUAUUUAUUUAUCAGCAUAAAUACAACAAAAAUAUGAUAGUUUAUAUACAUGGAAGCAAAGAAUUGGUUGUUAUGCUUCUAACAUUGGAAUUGUAAGGAGAAUUAAUAUGAUGCUUAUUUGGCACCAUAUCCUCUCUAUAUUGCUGUCUUAAAAUGACCAAAAUCCUAUGAGAUUGUCACAUUUUUUUCUCUUUCUUAUGAAUUCUCAGGCAAGAAAACAUGCAAUCUGAUAAGACCUCAAUUUCUUAAAGUGAAAAAAAAAGACUUUUGAAUACUUAUGCUUUAGCAUUUACAGCCUCACAUGAAAUUAUAUAAUACCUGAAAAUAUUGCUGACCCUGUUUGAAAGUAAUGUAUAUUUCAGCAUUUCUCAAGUUACUGCAGCUGUGAUAAGAUAACUCUAACUGGAUUCCUUCCAACUCUUCUAAUUCUUAUCCAGUGCAAAACUUUAAAAUGUUGAAUCACCAUAUCAGAAGUUCCACAAACAUUCCAGAGUGCCCAUUUCUCCCAACAUCUGUGGACUGACAUUCGUCCAAAUAUUAUGCUAAUUACAGCUGUUGUAUAAAAAUAAUAUAUAAUCAAGCUUAAUUUGCCUGCACAUGGUGUUGAAAAAGUGACCUGUCUGUAUCAUAAAAUAUUAAUAUUUUGUCUUAACAUUUUUAUGAGCUGACUUUUAAAAUCAAGUGGACACAAUAACAUAUUCUUGAGAGCAUCAUAAUAAUUAUUUCCCAACAUGAAAUUCACUUUGGACAAUAGUUUGAAUACUUCAAAUAACCUCUGCCUCCAAACAUCUAAACAUAUAAUGUUUUACUCUGAAGAUUGGUUUGCCAUAUCCCAAUUCCCUAAAUGAAGGCAGCCUGGUAUGCAUAUUAUGCAAAUCCCUGUUUCAUUAUGCAAAG
Molecule: long non-coding RNA, 3153 nt
Organism: Thamnophis elegans (Western terrestrial garter snake)
Lineage: Eukaryota; Metazoa; Chordata; Lepidosauria; Squamata; Natricidae
Exons: 2
Source: RefSeq, a predicted model, not a curated record